RNAcentral lists this ribosomal RNA (466 nucleotides) under uncultured bacterium. Its description in RNAcentral is "partial 16S ribosomal RNA". It matches the Rfam family "Bacterial small subunit ribosomal RNA", at positions 28 to 507 of the family's 1533-position model. The record is from RNAcentral.
GACGAACGCUGGCGGCGUGCUUAACACAUGCAAGUCGAACGGAAAGGCCCUGCUUGCAGGGUACUCGAGUGGCGAACGGGUGAGUAACACGUGGGUGAUCUGCCCUGCACUUCGGGAUAAGCCUGGGAAACUGGGUCUAAUACCGGAUAGGAGCCAUUUUUAGUGUGAUGGUUGGAAAGUUUUUUUCGGUGUAGGAUGAGCUCGCGGCCUAUCAGCUUGUUGGUGGGGUAAUGGCCUACCAAGGCGGCGACGGGUAGCCGGCCUGAGAGGGUGGACGGCCACAUUGGGACUGAGAUACGGCCCAGACUCCUACGGGAGGCAGCAGUGGGGAAUAUUGCACAAUGGGCGCAAGCCUGAUGCAGCGACGCCGCGUGGGGGAUGACGGCCUUCGGGUUGUAAACUCCGUUCGCUAGGGACGAAGCUUUUUGUGACGGUACCUAGAGAAGAAGCACCGGCUAACUACGUG